Molecule: non-coding RNA, 253 nt
Organism: Manis javanica (Malayan pangolin)
Lineage: Eukaryota; Metazoa; Chordata; Mammalia; Pholidota; Manidae
Source: RefSeq, a predicted model, not a curated record
UUGACCGAGCGCACAAAAAGGAAGUAAAAAGUGGAACACUCAGAACAUAGAAGAAUGUGUGACAGUUUGUUGGGUCCGAUGACUAAGUUUCCAUCUUUUCUAUGUCUUCUCUCGCAGUGAAAAGAAACUCUGUUUCUGACACACUUUCCAGCAAGGCUUAAUUCCACUGAAAGCAGUGCCUUGGAGAAAAUACCUGCUUUGCUAGCUACCUAAGAUCAAGGCCUAGCUUGGAUACCCAGAAAAUGAACUAAGA